Molecule: ribosomal RNA, 509 nt
Filed under: uncultured Entrophospora
Lineage: Eukaryota; Fungi; Glomeromycota; Glomeromycetes; Entrophosporales; Entrophosporaceae
Description: SSU rRNA
Rfam family: Eukaryotic small subunit ribosomal RNA
Source: RNAcentral
CCAACAGCGUAUAUUAAAGUUGUUGCAGUUAAAAAGCUCGUAGUUGAAUUGAGGGAUUGACGUGACGGUCGUGCCUUACGGGGUAUGAACUGUUGCUGUUGAUUUUUCUCACCUUCUGGAGAAACUUGAUGUCCUUAAUUGGGUGUCUUGCGGAUCCAGGACCUUUACCUUGAAAAAAUUAGAGUGUUUAAAGCAGGCAUUUUGCUCGAAUACAUUAGCAUGGAAUAAUAGAAUAGGACGGCAUGGUUCUAUUUUGUUGGUUUCUAGGAUCACCGUAAUGAUUAAUAGGGAUAGUUGGGGGCAUUAGUAUUCAAUUGUCAGAGGCGAAAUACUUGGAUUUGUUGAAGACUAAUUACUGCGAAAGCAUUUGCCAAGGAUGUUUUCAUUAAUCAAGAACGAAAGUUAGGGGAUCGAAGACGAUCAGAUACCGUCGUAGUCUUAACCAAUAAACUAUGCCGACUAGGAAUCAGACGAUGUUAAUUUUUUAAUGAUUCGUUUGGCACCUUACG